This is a non-coding RNA of Sus scrofa (pig), 1851 nucleotides long. Lineage: Eukaryota; Metazoa; Chordata; Mammalia; Artiodactyla; Suidae. The record is from RefSeq and is a predicted model, not a curated record.
ACAUCCCUCACCUGUGACAUUCUCGCCUCCACUCUCUCCGUGCCUUAAGGCCCACGUCUUCCUGGUUCCCGUCCUACCCUCAUUCCAUCCUCAGACCCCUUUCCCUCUAACCUUCAUGGCCACCCCCCUCCAGGCUUCCUCAUCCCUUUACUCGCUGGACGCAGGAAACAGCGUCACUUCAUUUUGAGAAGCCGUAGUCUAUCGGCCGAGCACCAGUGGGAGCACCUGGAAUCCAUACCAAGUUAUACGAUGUUUUUCAGGAAAAUCAUUUCAUCCCCAGAAAUGGGGCGAAGGAAGAAAUUUUAGCAAGGAGGGAAAGGAAAGAAGAACAUGAAUUAGAAUUAGAAUUUUUUUUUCCAAAAAAUCGUGGUCCUUUAUUAAAACACGGAGGGAGGCGCUUGAGUACAGGUGCUUCCUAGUGAUGGAAGGGAGGGGGCAGGGCUCCGCCAUUCACUUCCGGGAGAGGGGACCGCCCCCCUCUUCCCCGCCCCCACCCCAGAGAGGGCACCUAGCAGGCGAUGGAGUCCAAAGCCCUGGGGGUCCUGCCGGACAAAGGCGUCCUUUCUUCAGGGGAUAGAAGCCCUCUCUCUCCAGCCUCAGGACCAAAGAGAAGCAGUAGCCGCAGACGGUAGGCUCUUUGGAGGCAGGAACCAAUCCUGCUAAAAAGGAUUCCUUGCACACGUGUCACAUGACUGAUCAUAAUCACAGCAGAAGGAAACUCAAGAAAUCACCCAUAUAGUCCCUGCCCUUGGGACCAAUGAGGGGAGCUGUAUUGAGAACACUUGUUUUCAGACUACCUAAUCCUGGUUUUUCAACCAGGCAGUGCCACGAGUCAGCCCCAGUUUUGCUCAGUUAGCACAGUUAGCAAGAACCAAAACAAACCUGAUCAACUGGAUUGUAAGUCCUGAGCCUGGUUGGCCAAGAAGAUUAGGCAGAUGUUGCUGAUACAGAAUCGAAGAGUAUGCAGGCAGCUGAUCCAACACAGAAUCAAAGAGUUGGGAUGUUGUACUGGAAAUUGCAUCAGAUUUGCUGUCAAGACAUGAGUCUGAAUCUCCAUUCUCUAGUGUGGACUUUGAGCAAAUCACUCAAUUUCCCUGUGAUGCUGUUUCCUGUGACCUCAAACAGAAGACUCUAUUUCUCUCAGAUUCAAGUUCCUGUGAAAAAAUUGAAAUAUAAAGGAGUAAAGACGCUGCCUUGUCCUGCUUGCUGUCUGCUGUGCCGUGGGGGUGUUGCUUGACCUUGCUCCAGGACCUUGCUUCAGACGUAAAGCAGCAUGAGGAAGAACCUGCACCCCACCAGUGACAAUGCUGGAUCCUUAACUUCUAGGCAACUGGGAAGCUCCCAAUCAGUUCUUUUCCUACAGCUAAGGAAGUGAGGCCAGGAGAAGUCAAGUGACUCAUCCGUCCACGCUACUUUUUCUACCAUAAUACUUAUGUUGAUGCUCUUUCUAUAUACUCUAUCCCUAAGAUUUUUCCCAGAGAGGUUUGGCAAGUGAGCAUACAGUCUGAGGGGGAGACGAAGAUGAUAUCAGCCAGAGGAUAAGUUAGGGGCUCACUAACUGGAACUCAAGAGACAUGCAAAGGAAGUGAUCAGUGGGAGUGAAGGGAGAGCAAGGUGGGGAAUACGCACAAAUAAGAACAUACCUGAAGAGAUGAGGGAGAGUGAGGAGAAAGAGCAAAGGAGGCAAAGAAUUCAUCUGCUCCUACAAAGAUGUUCACAUUCCCAGAAAAGGAGCACUUGACAGAAGAAAGGAGGCUGCCGCAAACCAAUGCCAAAGUCAAAACUCAUCAGAAAAAAAGAAUUAGAAAUUAUAAGAGUUCUCCUUCAGAUUUAUUUGAAAAAAAAAAAAAA